This 310-nucleotide ribosomal RNA is filed under the name uncultured soil bacterium. RNAcentral describes it as "bacterial SSU rRNA". It matches the Rfam family "Bacterial small subunit ribosomal RNA", at positions 26 to 337 of the family's 1533-position model. The record is from RNAcentral.
AGAUUGAACGCUGGCGGCAUGCCUUACACAUGCAAGUCGAACGGCAGCACGGGAGCAAUCCUGGUGGCGAGUGGCGAACGGGUGAGUAAUAUAUCGGAACGUGCCCAGUCGUGGGGGAUAACGCAGCGAAAGCUGUGCUAAUACCGCAUACGAUCUAUGGAUGAAAGCGGGGGAUCGCAAGACCUCGCGCGAUUGGAGCGGCCGAUAUCAGAUUAGCUAGUUGGUGGGGUAAAAGCCUACCAAGGCGACGAUCUGUAGCUGGUCUGGAGAGGACGACCAGCCACACUGGAACUGAGACACGGUCCAGACU